GCACAGGAGGGGUGGCCAGGCGACCCCUGCAGCGCCCUGGGUGCACUGUGUCACUAGGCAUCUGAAGAGCCGCUCAGCUGUGUCCAGCCGGGCGUCGCCCCCUCCUCGGGGACUCCACCUCCUGCAGGCACAGUGGGCCACGCCUGCGUUUCCUCCUGGAAAAGCCUCCGCUCCUACUUCGCCCUCCAUUUCUGUGACUUGGGAGCGUCGGCCAGGCGUCCUUUGGAAAUGUCUGGGGAGCUGUCCCCUGCAGAAAUGGACACUGCCCCCGAAGCCUUGGAAUGUCAUGACUGCCCACGGGAGUGAGGCUUCUUCCACCGCCCUGCCACUCAGAGACACCCAGGAGCCCAGCUGGGGAAGGGUGCACUCCACAGUUAGCCUGUCCGGCUCCAGGUCACAAGGGCCAGGUUCUUCCCGUCUCCAGAGAGCCCUGAAAUGCCUGCCUGAAGAGCUGGGAUCUGGGGGGAGGAGCAGGGGGCCCCUCCUUCCUGACACCCGGGCCCUGAUGUUCCAGAUGUUCGGGCCUGGGCUGGUCACCUAGAGUCCUCAACCUGGUGUCCUCGAAGAGUGGCCAGGCUUUGGAACCAGCAUCUCUACAGCCCUGAACUCCCAGCGAUCCUCCUGCCUCAGGCUCCGGAGUGCAGGGAUCACAGGAGUCUGGGCCUGGUGUGGCUGGGCCCUCUCAGAGGCGGCACCAAGGUUGUCAGGGCUGAGAUGUCAUCUGAAGCUUGGUGGAGGAGACCCACAUCUUACCUUGUGAUCUUGCUGGGCAAUUCAGAACUGUUG
Molecule: non-coding RNA, 786 nt
Organism: Heterocephalus glaber (naked mole-rat)
Lineage: Eukaryota; Metazoa; Chordata; Mammalia; Rodentia; Bathyergidae
Source: RefSeq, a predicted model, not a curated record